Molecule: long non-coding RNA, 2982 nt
Organism: Bombus pyrosoma
Lineage: Eukaryota; Metazoa; Arthropoda; Insecta; Hymenoptera; Apidae
Exons: 3
Source: RefSeq, a predicted model, not a curated record
UUUUCGCAAUGUGAAUGUAAUAUGGUUGCAUUUGUUGGGGUUUGCUUUUAUUUGUUUAACUUGCAGCCACUUUUCUAUUUUUGUGGUGUGUUCUUGUAGUAAUGUGACUGCCGUUUCUGGAUUUUCGUGCCUCGCUAGUAUGACCGUAUCGUCCGCGAACGUUAGUGUUUUGCUGUUGCAAGUUGUCGGUAUGUCUGCCGUAUAUAGUGUGUAUAGUAUUGGUCCUAGGACGCUUCCUUGCGGUACUCCUGCCUUGAUAUCCUUAAUUUCAGAAUAUGCAUCAUUUAUUUUUACUACAAAGGUUCUAUUGUUUAAGCAAGAUUUGAGUAGUUUGUAGAUUUGUUCUGGAAAUUGCUUUUUGAUCGUUUGAAGAAGUUUUCCAUCGUUAACUUUGUCGAAUGCUUUUUCAAUGUCCAUAAAGAGUGCCGUGCAAUAUUGUUUUGUUUCCAAUGGCUGUAAGAUUUCGUUGACGAGUCUAUGCAUUUGUUCUAUUGUGGAGUGUUUAUUCCUGAAUCCAAAUUGAUGCUCCGGUGUUAGUUUUUCUCUUUCUAUUGUUGGUUUUAGGCGGUUAUAUACUAUUUUUUCUAGUAGUUUGAAAAACGCAGGUGGUAAUGAUAUUGGCCUGUAGGAUGCAGUUAAGUGUGGGUUUUUGUUUGCUUUGGGUAACAUUACUAUCUGUGCUAUUUUCCAUUGUGCAGGAAAAUACUGUAUUCUUAGAAUUGCGUUGAAUAUUAUCGUUGGUAGUCUUAAUGCCUUUGGGGGGAGGUUUUUUAAGAUUUUUCCAUUGAUCAAGUCAAAUCCUGGUGCUUUACUUGUCUUUGUUGCCUUAAUUAACUUUGUAACUUCUUACGCUGUUGUGCCGAGUAUGGUGCAGCGUUUGUCAGUUGUGUUGUUGGCAUUUUCCACUUUCCAGCGUAAAUGUGUUUCGAAUAUUAAAAUAUCAAAUAUUGACACUUAUUUAUUUAUUCAAUAUUAUUAAUAUUAUAAAAUAUGAGAAUAUCAAAAGAAAAUACAUAAUAAUAUAAAAUUAUAAAUUCUCUCAUCUCUUGCAGAAUAAGGUCCCUGUCAAAAUAAGAAGUCUGUCUGCCGAAACAAAAUAUCCUAAGAGAAAUCGAUGUAUCGCGCCUGUAAAAUUCAGCAGCAUAUUUCUACUCUGUAGGGGGAAAUCUGUAAUCUGAGAGAUUUCUGGAAACAUGAGGACCUCAGGCCUCCCUCAGGAUCGUACAACGUUAAUUUAGAGCUGCUUCUUUCCAUCUUCAAAGAACUCACAUCUAUAUAUAAUUAUUAUAUCAAAUCAAAAAUACUUCUGUCCAACUAUGUAAUUGUGUGUUUUUACGAAUUUUAUAGCGCAGCCUUCCUGAGCAAAUCCCUAUCGAACGAUUCCUGGCAAAUAUGUAACGUCGGAAACGUGUAAUUAAACGCCUAGGCGAAACAACUUUUUGCCAAGAAAUGUGCGAUUAGUGGUAAUUACUUUAUUAACCUACUUCCAGUCGCAACUUGCGUUCACUCGCUCGCACGACAAUCCUACAGCGAUGAAUUCAAAUCUAUAAGCAAGCAGGCUUGCCGAUAUUACAGCAAGUAGAUGACAAGAACUGCGAAAUCUCGAACGAGUUGGCUGUAUGUACGUUGGAUGCUCUCGGUCGAAAACAUCCAAACACUGAAACAAAUAAAACGAAACUUUGGAUCUGGCAAACGAGAAAAGGAUUUGAGCGCAUGGCCCUUCGUUCCCGAGGAAUUAAUCGAGAAAUUACGUUUUUGGCGCAGCAGCUUCUUGUGUUUUAAAACGCUAAACCUUAGCAGGUCGAAUGAACGCUUUCAAAAUUGAAUUUAAAGUCGUGCGUUCGUUGUUAUUUCUUUCGUUCCUCUAACUUUCUCUAAAUUCUUACGUUUAUCUGAUUAAUCAAUUUCUCAAUUUUUGUUAAUACAAUUUGCACAAAGCUAGACGAAUAAAAGAAAUAGCAACGAAAGUACGACUUUAGAUUCAAUUUUGAAACCAGUUACAAUUUCCAUCCGCAAAAUCGUAAAAAUACGCAGUGAUAGUAUAACAAAUAGAAAUAAACAAAGACUUAAUAUAUAAGAUAGAUCGUAGGAAUUUAAUAUUUAAAAAAAUGAUAUUAAUAUCGAAAGAAUUUAUAAAGCGUAAGAUAUGGUCCCUGGUGUUUCCCCGAAAUUGUCGAGAAGCUUCUCCCACUCUGAAUCUUAUCGUUUCAAUAUUUUCAAUAGCUUUGCUCUGCUUACAAAAUUCGUUGUAUCUCGAACGAAGAAGAUAGAGCAUAUGCUUUUACGAAGUUUCUUCAUUGUUUUUAGAUGCACAAUCAGCUCUGCAAGUGGGGCCCACAUGUUACGUCACAUCCUGUGUACGCAAAAAGUUUCUGUAAAUGGCCAAAUAUUUUCGCGAGCAACUGUACGUGGACACGAAUUCGCAGUCGUGAAUUAUUCGAAUUCAAGUUGCUCAGCUUGCUCGAGUGAAACUGCUGCAAGUAAAAUUUAAUUGAAGAGGCGCUUAAGAGCAUCUUUCACGAUGCUGCGUCUCGACAAACAGCAAAAAGAGGAAGAACUCGUGUAUCUGCCAAUUUGCAUACGCAUAGCGAGCAUAAAAUUCCGCCUCGUACGAUCUUUCUGAUUCUCUCGAGUCAGUUGGGCGAGUUACGUUAGACUCGCGUAAUCCCGCAACGUUUCAUACACUGCCGUCCACGAGUCACCGAACACUUGCUCGUUUUGCGCAGGAUGAUUUUUACAAUGUAAAUAUACGAUUUCUCGACCGACUUCGUUGUUUAUCUUUAAGCUACUUACAGUCUAUUUAAAGCGUGCGCGAUUUAUUUAUCGUGCUAUGAAAUAAUCUGUAGAUAUCGUGAAGCGAAAUUAGCGUUUACGUGGAACGUUGAAAUUGCAUAACGUUAAAGGUAUGUACGCCACCGGGUAUAAGCAUUAUAUAAGACAUUUGCAAAUUAUCGCAAAUAUACGAAAUAUACAUCGAUUAAA